This 74-nucleotide transfer RNA is filed under the name Danio rerio (zebrafish). Its description in RNAcentral is "tRNA-Ile (TAT) (tRNA-Ile-TAT-21-1, tRNA-Ile-TAT-21-2)". It matches the Rfam family "tRNA". From Rfam's summary of the family: Transfer RNA (tRNA) molecules are approximately 80 nucleotides in length. Their secondary structure includes four short double-helical elements and three loops (D, anti-codon, and T loops). The record is from RNAcentral. Lineage: Eukaryota; Metazoa; Chordata; Actinopteri; Cypriniformes; Danionidae.
GCUCCAGUGGCGCAAUCGGUCAGCGCGCGGUUCUUAUAAUGCCGAGGUUGUGAGUUCAAGCCUCACCUGGAGCA